Molecule: ribosomal RNA, 467 nt
Filed under: Streptococcus mutans
Lineage: Bacteria; Bacillati; Bacillota; Bacilli; Lactobacillales; Streptococcaceae
Description: bacterial SSU rRNA
Rfam family: Bacterial small subunit ribosomal RNA
Source: RNAcentral
CGCUGGCGGCGUGCCUAAUACAUGCAAGUGGGACGCAAGGGAACACACUGUGCGUGCACACCGUGUUUUCUUGAGUCGCGAACGGGUGAGUAACGCGUAGGUAACCUGCCUAUUAGCGGGGGAUAACUAUUGGAAACGAUAGCUAAUACCGCAUAAUAUUAAUUAUUGCAUGAUAAUUGAUUGAAAGAUGCAAGCGCAUCACUAGUAGAUGGACCUGCGUUGUAUUAGCUAGUUGGUAAGGUAAGAGCUUACCAAGGCGACGAUACAUAGCCGACCUGAGAGGGUGAUCGGCCACACUGGGACUGAGACACGGCCCAGACUCCUACGGGAGGCAGCAGUAGGGAAUCUUCGGCAAUGGGGGGAACCCUGACCGAGCAACGCCGCGUGAGUGAAGAAGGUUUUCGGAUCGUAAAGCUCUGUUGUAAGUCAAGAACGUGUGUGAGAGUGGAAAGUUCACACAGGGACGG